This 1402-nucleotide long non-coding RNA is filed under the name Sus scrofa (pig). RNAcentral's name for it is "lncRNA (ENSSSCG00035029145.1)". The record is from RNAcentral. Lineage: Eukaryota; Metazoa; Chordata; Mammalia; Artiodactyla; Suidae.
AUGCAGCCCCUUCCCCUUCUGACUAUCUUUUUGUUAACUUCCAGGGAAAAGAGAAGCCAGAUGAAGACAGGAUGGACCACUACCUCUGGUGAAGCAGAGAUGACAUCUUUGGUUGAUGAGCUCAAAGCAGAAAUGGCCCAGUCCCUUCAAGAGAUGGCACUGCCCACUUCACUCCACAUUAAGAGAAGUCUUGACACUAUCACUUGCACUCCCAUUAUUGCCACUAUCUCUACAAAAUCAAACAUUACAGACACACAUUCUUGUGGGAGGGCAGUAGGCAUGAGAAGGAAUUAUUUCCUCCAUCAGAAUCUUUCUUCAGAUGUUCUGGCUUGGGACUUGCUCUGGGGUGAAGGGGAUGGACUUGCUAUAUACCUGGGGGAUGAGCUUGGAGAGAAGAACUCUCUUUGGAGGCUUUCAGUAGAAGAAUGUACUCUGUCUUGGGAAUAUGUUCAGCAUAUUCAGAGCUAGGGAAUGCCUGGCACCUGAAAAUAAGUGAUCCCCAUUGAGAGUCACCAUGGCGAUUCAACAGCUAGAAGGGUCUGGAGGAGAUGCACAUGAGACCUGAGGUUGGUACUAACUAUGCGAAAAUAGGAAACUUUCUCAUCUUUCCCAGCAUCCUUUUCCUCCUGUGUAAAAUGGGAGCAAUUGCCUUUGUUUACAGGGCUGUUAGAAAGUUUAGAUGAGACAAUAGGCAUAAAAGUACUCAAUCAGAGGCUAACAUGAGUGCUAUAAAGACAAAAGAGUGCUGGUAAUUCUGAGCAGGCAGAGGUUAAUGUGAUGGAGUCAUCAGAGAGUCCGGUGGAGAAGAUGAGCUAGACACAUUGAAUUCCUUGAAUUGUUGAUGAUUUUUCAGCUUUUAUCUUAACGUUACAAUAAUAAUACGUGCUCAUUGUGAAAAAUUUUGGGUGGGGAACAUAAACAAGAAAAUUGAAGUCUUUUCUAGUCUUGUCACUCUAGUCAAGCACUCUUAUCAAUGUUUGUUAACAUUUCUGGGAAAUCUUUACCACAUGUAACUUGGGUGAAAGAGAAGAGAGAGAAAAUUCUGGUCAUUUACUACUGUUUGAACAUAGAGGCUUGGCUUAAGCAAGGAGAACAUUUGGGUCAGGGGUGAGAAACUGUAGCAGAAGAUAAAGUUGGAGACAGAUCAGACAGGUUCUGUAUGCAAAGGCAUCAAUAGUUUCCCUUCUGAUUUUUUUAAAAGGAAAGUCGUAAAACCUUAACUUUCUGUCUCUCUUCCUGCUCUUUCACCUUCUGAUCUUUAUCAAUGCUCUCAAACAAAUUGACACGAAUUGCCAUGGGAAAGGCUAUUACCUAGCCAAGAGAACAAUGGGAUUGAGGUGCCAGAGUCAGUUGUCCUCUCUUAUGAAAUAAAUUGUGGGUCUGUGCUGGAUUCUUGUAUGGG